AGCAGAGUAGGCUCUUUCAACAAUGAGACCAACGUUGAGGAAGGUGGUCUUGUUCGCGCUGUUGGGCCGGGACCAGUCCCGCCGAAAGCGCAGGUCUGUGUGGUUCCAGAGAUGGUUAAAGUCCCGAAAGCAGGCAGGGGAAUUCCAGCAUCUCAUUCAAGAGCUUCGAAUGUUUGGAGGGGAAUUCUGAAGUUACUUUCGUCUGAACCGAAGCCAGUUCGAUCACCUGCUGCAGAUGGUUGGAGCCAGGAUCGCCCGGAUGGAUACCAACUACCGGGAGUCCAUCAGCCCAGUUGAACGCCUGGCGAUUUGUCUCCGGAGGAAGACUGGAGGGCCAUCACUGCCGAGUUCCUGGAGAGGUGGAAUUUCCCCAACUGUCUUGGCUCCAUUGACAGGAAACAUGUAGUAAUCCAGGCUCCACUGUGCUCAGGUUCGCAGUUCUACAACUGCAAGGGUACAUAUUCAGUUGUACUCUUGGCUGUAGUAGAUGCCAUCUACUGUUUCCGUGUUGUCGAUGUUGAUGCUUACGGCAAGGGAAGUGAUGGCGUGACCCUCCGAGACUCUGCCUCUGGCCAGGCACUUCAGGAUGGCACCCUGGAGAUUCCACCACCUGCAUCACUCCCUGGGGCUGAAGACCUGGGACCUGUUCCCCACGUCUUCGUCGGCGACCAGGCCUUCUCUUUAAGACCCAACCUCAUGAGCCCUGCGCUGGACGCCAGCUGCCAUUGCCAAAGCCUGUAAGGAUCUUUAACAAAUGAUUGUCCAAGGCAAUGCGCCUUUGGGAUUCUGGCAGCUCGGUGGAGAAUGUAUCGGAGAGUGCUUGGUCUCAGCCCCUCAAAUGUCGAUGCCUGCGUGAAGGCCACAUGUGUUCUCCACAACUACUUGCGGAGGUCAUUCCAGGAGCCGCUCCGGAUGGAGAUGGUCACCUUCCUGAUGUCACCAGGGCAGGUACCAACAACGCCCCCAGACAGGCACUCCAGGUGAGGGAGAAGCUGACCACCUACUUCUCAUCGCCAGCAGGUGAAGUCCCAUGGCAGUAUGCCGUGGAGUGAAACGGCUCUUUUAAGAGCCCCAUAACACAAUGGUUAUUUUAAGAACCAUACACCGUUGUCCAUAAAAUUGAAUUUUUUCCCUC
Long non-coding RNA from Oncorhynchus tshawytscha (Chinook salmon), 1135 nucleotides. The record is from Ensembl. Lineage: Eukaryota; Metazoa; Chordata; Actinopteri; Salmoniformes; Salmonidae.